GCCCUAAUAAGCUAAAUGACCAGCUGUUAAUCUUGUAAAUUAAAAAAUGGAGGUUCAAAUCCUUCUUUUGGCU
RNAcentral lists this transfer RNA (73 nucleotides) under Crossaster papposus. RNAcentral's name for it is "tRNA-Thr". It matches the Rfam family "tRNA". From Rfam's summary of the family: Transfer RNA (tRNA) molecules are approximately 80 nucleotides in length. Their secondary structure includes four short double-helical elements and three loops (D, anti-codon, and T loops). Further hydrogen bonds mediate the characteristic L-shaped molecular structure. tRNAs have two regions of fundamental functional importance: the anti-codon, which is responsible for specific mRNA codon recognition, and the 3' end, to which the tRNAs corresponding amino acid is attached (by aminoacyl-tRNA synthetases). tRNAs cope with the degeneracy of the genetic code in two manners: having more than one tRNA (with a specific anti-codon) for a particular amino acid; and 'wobble' base-pairing, i.e. permitting non-standard base-pairing at the 3rd anti-codon position. The record is from RNAcentral. Lineage: Eukaryota; Metazoa; Echinodermata; Asteroidea; Velatida; Solasteridae.